GAGUUUGAUCGUGGCUCAGAUUGAACGCUGGCGGCAUGCCUUACACAUGCAAGUCGAACGGCAGCAUGAUCUAGCUUGCUAGAUUGAUGGCGAGUGGCGAACGGGUGAGUAAUACAUCGGAACGUGCCCUGUAGCGGGGGAUAACUAGUCGAAGGAUUAGCUUAAUACCGCAUACGACCUGAGGGUGAAAGUGGGGGACCGCAAGGCCUCAUGCUAUAGGAGCGGCCGAUGUCUGAUUAGCUAGUUGGUGGGGUAAAGGCCCGACCAAGGCGACGAUCAGUAGCUGGUCUGAGAGGACGAUCAGCCACACUGGGACUGAGACACGGCCCAGACUCCUACGGGAGGCAGCAGUGGGGAAUUUUGGACAAUGGGCGAAAGCCUGAUCCAGUCAAUGCCGCGUGUGUGAAGAAGGCCUCGGUU
RNAcentral lists this ribosomal RNA (420 nucleotides) under uncultured microorganism. RNAcentral's name for it is "bacterial SSU rRNA". It matches the Rfam family "Bacterial small subunit ribosomal RNA", at positions 9 to 424 of the family's 1533-position model. The record is from RNAcentral.